GACGAACGCUGGCGGCGUGCUUAACACAUGCAAGUCGAACGGAAAGGCCCUGCUUGCCGGGUGCUCGAGUGGCGAACGGGUGAGUAACACGUGGGUGAUCUGCCCCUUACUUUGGGAUAAGCCUGGUAAACUGGGUCUAAUACUGGAUAGGUCCAUGCUGUAGGUGGUGUGGUGGACAGAUUAGUUUCGGUGAGGGAUGAGUUCGCGGCCUAUCAGCUUGGUGGUGGGGUAAUGGCCUAACAAGGCGGCGACGGGUAGCCGGCGUGAGAGGGUGGACGGCCACAUUGGGACUGAGAUACGGCCCAGACGCCGCCGGGAGGCAGCAGUGGGGAAUAGUGGACAAUGGGCGCAAGCAUGAUGCAGCGACGCCGCGUGGGGGAUGACGGCCUUCGGGUUGUAAACUCCUUUCAGCCAUGACGAAGCCCGGGUGGUGACGGUAGUGGUAGAAGAAGCACCGGCUAACUACGUG
This 469-nucleotide ribosomal RNA is filed under the name uncultured bacterium. Its description in RNAcentral is "partial 16S ribosomal RNA". It matches the Rfam family "Bacterial small subunit ribosomal RNA", at positions 28 to 507 of the family's 1533-position model. The record is from RNAcentral.